This 516-nucleotide ribosomal RNA is filed under the name uncultured eubacterium WR1140. Its description in RNAcentral is "bacterial SSU rRNA". It matches the Rfam family "Bacterial small subunit ribosomal RNA", at positions 9 to 527 of the family's 1533-position model. The record is from RNAcentral.
GAGUUUGAUCAUGGCUCAGAUUGAACGCUGGCGGCAUGCCUUACACAUGCAAGUCGAACGGUAACAGGUUAAGCUGACGAGUGGCGAACGGGUGAGUAAUACAUCGGAACGUGCCCGAUCGUGGGGGAUAACGCAGCGAAAGCUGUGCUAAUACCGCAUACGAUCUACGGAUGAAAGCAGGGGAUCGCAAGACCUUGCGCGGACGGAGCGGCCGAUGGCAGAUUAGGUAGUUGGUGAGGUAAAGGCUCACCAAGCCUUCGAUCUGUAGCUGGUCUGAGAGGACGACCAGCCACACUGGGACUGAGACACGGCCCAGACUCCUACGGGAGGCAGCAGUGGGGAAUUUUGGACAAUGGGCGCAAGCCUGAUCCAGCCAUGCCGCGUGCAGGAUGAAGGCCUUCGGGUUGUAAACUGCUUUUGUACGGAACGAAAAGGUUCUCCCUAAUACAGGGGGCUCAUGACGGUACCGUAAGAAUAAGCACCGGCUAACUACGUGCCAGCAGCCGCGGUAAUACG